GUAAGCUUUCUUCUGUCUAAAGUUGUGUAAAAGGAGUUCGAUGGAGCUCCUUUACCAGCCAUAGCUGGGGACAAAUUUUGCUAACAAUAGGCAAGUAAACGUUUUAAAUUAUAGGAAGAAAAAGAAAUAAAGGGAAAGCCGGCCAAAACAGAGAAUAAAAUGGAAAUAAAUUCAGGAUGUGUUUACCUUCUAGACGCAUGAAUAUGAUCCAUUCCUUCAGGUACUUGGUUACACACAUUGUAGAAGUAAUUUUUAUUAAUUUCUGAACUAUAGUAUUUAUUGCAGUUACAGCAAGCCUUGCAGAAAUAAUCCUUGUGAUUUCUGAAGAUUCAUCGCUUUGAGGGAAAAAUGAUGAUUCAAACAGAGAUUUUCAUUUGGUACCAGAAGAAAGGUAAGCAUAUGCCCAUGUCACUCUCAAUGGGUUUACCGUUUAUGGGGGAAAUGGCUACAUGGAUUGGUGUCCCUAGAUAUUAAGGUUCUGAAACUGUUGCCAGAGGUGGCAACACGGAAAGCAGUACAGCGUAAACAGAGAUGACAGCAAGAAGUUUCCCUCUGUAACAUGGUGUACAGGUUCUAAUUAAAGUUCCCUGAUGCGUCGGAAAUUGCUGACAUAUUGAAGGAGUUCAUGGAUCCGGAGAUGUUUGGAUACCAGGGGCUAAACUUUAGCCCCUGUCACAUCGGAUGUUCGAAUGCUAAUUAGGAUGAUUAAACAUGAGCUAAUUACAAAACUAAUAGCAGAACCUCUAGGCUAAAUCGCGAGACGAAUCUAUUAAUCCUAAUUAAUUCAUCAUUAACAAAUGGUUACUGUAGCACCACAUUGUCAAAUUAUGGACUAAUUAGGCUUAAUAGAUUCGUCUCGCGAUUUAGCUUUGAGGUUGUGCAAUUAGUUUUGUAAUUAAUCUAUGUUUAAUACUCCUAAUUAGUGUCCAAACAUCCGAUGUGAUAGCUUCCAGUCUCGGAUCCCAGAUUUAGAUCGCGCACACGCAUAUAUAUCAAUAUAUGACACCCAACAUAAGCAAUUGGGUAAGCAUUUACCAACCACCAAUUUUUUCCUUCGGAAUUGAUUGACAAAACUGCCAGAUAUUUGAUGUAUGGUGCAUGAACCAUGAAAGAUGCUUCCUCAUGAUCUGUGUAUGGCACCUGAAUGCGUCUGCCACUGUGCUUAAAGAUUUAUCGGCAGUCUCACACAUAAAUGUGAGGAACUAUUAAGUCGAGCUUACCUUCUCAUUAGUAUCCGAACAUCCGAUGUGACAGGACUAAAGUUUAGCCCCUGGUAUCCAAACACCCCCUAAAUCGUCUAUUUGCAUAUAAUGAAGCUGUACCAGGGAGUGAUCAUUGCAGUUUACAAUCAUUCUCAGUCCAAUCUGCAUUAAAGUUCCGCAGAUCGAUGAGAAGAUGCAUAGCCGGAAUCUGAGUUGUGUCUCCAGUGUUUCUGCUACGGAUUCCGACAAACAUGUGGCUAUUCGUACGCUGUUCAUCAUCUACAACUCAUUUCAAAACCAACAGUUGAUAAUAUGAGCACAUCUCGUCGUGUUUUGCAGACACAAAUGGAGGACACUCAUCACGAUCCGGAGUUGAUUCAGAUUUCAGGCGGCCUUCAAGCCGCCAAACAUCCAGUAGAAUGAGGCACCCCACUUUUUCUUCCUUGAUCAAACUUUUCACCGGAACAUCAUUGCGUCAGUGAAGGCAACCUCACACUUGCCACGGUGAAAAGUGGGUUUCACUCCGGC
RNAcentral lists this long non-coding RNA (1730 nucleotides) under Setaria italica (foxtail millet). RNAcentral describes it as "long non-coding RNA (SITA_LNC007247)". The record is from RNAcentral. Lineage: Eukaryota; Viridiplantae; Streptophyta; Magnoliopsida; Poales; Poaceae.